RNAcentral lists this microRNA precursor (128 nucleotides) under Drosophila virilis. RNAcentral describes it as "microRNA dvi-mir-971 precursor". Its record names the gene dvi-mir-971. The stretch from base 29 to 106 matches the Rfam family "mir-971 microRNA precursor family". Lineage: Eukaryota; Metazoa; Arthropoda; Insecta; Diptera; Drosophilidae. The record is from miRBase by way of RNAcentral.
ACGUGCAACACGUCACAAGCUGAAAUGACGUCACGCCCGCUGUAAAAUGUAAUCAUCAGAGCGUCCUCUCAACCGCUUGGUGUUACUUCUUACAGUGAGUGCGACGGCCCAAGGUCCGACCGUAAAUC